UAAUCCGGAGAAGUGGGGGAGAGCGCAGCACGGAUUGAAACGAAUGCCAGAGCCAGAAGAAUAAUGUCAGGAGCAGGGGGAGCCCAGCAGGUGCAAUUUAUUCCUAUCAGGGUGCUGUGCUCACAGCUGCGAUAUUGCAAUGCCGUGUGUGCUGCAAUGCUGUGGGUACCUCGGGUGCUGCAAUGCUGUUAUGCUGUGGGUGCUGCAGGUGAUGCAACGCCAUGGGUGCUGCAAUGCUGCGGGUGCUGCAAGCUGCAGGAGUUGUGUGUAGUGCAGGGACAGACACCUGCUGCCAGCCUCCUCCCAUCCACUCUGACCUGCUUCGUCCUGCCCUUCCCUGCCACGCUCUUGAUGCACACAAGACUUUAUUUAGCAAAUGCUUUCGGUGUGAAACUCACCUCUUCUGGGACACGCGCUGCUCGCACUGUAGUGAUUAAUGAGCAAGACGAAGACCUUCUCCUUGCCCCAUCACCCUUGAAAUCUGCUUCAUCGCGCAUAGUAAGAGGGAAGAAAUUUGGGUGAUUAUGCUUUUGUCGUGCUCUUCAGGUAGAUCCUCGCUGUGAUUGCAGCCUCUGGGUUGGAGGAGAAUUUUUAUUUGAACAAUAGGUCAAAUGCGAAUUCACCUUGCUCCAGACACAGGAUAUUACCUCUGAUUUUGGAGCCUUUUGGCCUUUUUAAAGGAAAGGAAAAGAAAGAAAAUCCUCACUGUCUAAUUACAUUGGUUACAGGCAAUCAGAUUUAGUCAUCUUCGGAUGGCUUUCAUUUGGCAUUGACUGAUGACACUUCAGCAGCUGCCCCGAGCACUUUCUGGCAUUACAAAGGAGUUUUGAUGUUACACCACCACCUCCCCAUGGCCACCUCCAUCUCCAUCCCUGCUGGAGAUGCCCAGUGUGGGGCCGGGUGCUGGCAGCACCCCUGGGUUCCUCUAUGGCUGGGAAUGCGGGGCUGUGAGAUCACACGUCUGGGAGGUGGUGAUGGAAACUCCACUCGGACCUGAGGUUUGAAAGAGAAGAGCAAAAUACAGCUCUGAAUAGUCCCUAUCAUCUUUUAUAACACGGCACUCUGAUAGUGGAACAAUACUCCCAAGGAGAAGGCUGAUGUAGCCGAUAAAAAGCAGAUUUGUAUUUCUGAGACAGGGGAGUGAACGCAGGGGCUGAGCACAUCGCUGCAGGGAGGCAUUGCACUGACAGCUCGGGGUGCACAGCAGCAAGCACUGCACCAGGUUCUGCACGCCGUGCCCUUGGUGUUGGGCUAAUCAACACUGCCCAUUGGGAAUCCGGCCCAUUUGUAGCUUUUUUAUCCUAUGGACCUAACCUGCUUCCUCUAAAAGUUUCCACGCUGCACUUUUCGAGUUGGGAAGUCUCUUCUGAUGCCUCAAAAAGUGGCAGCUUGAGUCUCCUCACUGUGCUGUGCUUGCAGCCCGUGACCUUGCUAUGGAGCACCGUGGCAUCGGGCGGCCGGGACGGCUGGGUGCUCUGCCAAGGAGCACCGCUGACAUGAAGGGAGAUGGACACCUUAACAGACUGAUAAGGAAACCAUCGGAACAUCCUAAUGUGAACACAAUAAAUAAUAAAUCCUUCCUCGUAGCCA
Molecule: long non-coding RNA, 1590 nt
Organism: Numida meleagris (helmeted guineafowl)
Lineage: Eukaryota; Metazoa; Chordata; Aves; Galliformes; Numididae
Source: Ensembl